AGUUCAUGAUCAGCUCUUCCUUCAAUUUUAUCGUCAUGUCACGAGCAAAAAUGAUCCACAAUGGUUCAUCUUGAAUCACGGCAUACCUGAGAGUCCCUAGCUUAGGUUUCACAGGAUCAUGGUCACUGGAAUCUGUGACGACGUAAAUUUUUCCAUCUCUUCCCCCGAUGGCAUUCUUACCGAACCCAAUGGCACAGUCCGCCAGGCGCUGGCGAUUCUUCUCCCAGUUGGGGUCGCACCUCCAGCAAUCAUCAAUGGGGUUACCGGUUCCACAGGAAAGAUAGCCCAAGUUCCUCCUGGAAGCAUUGAUGGCCCUGCAUGCGCAAAAAAGAAAAAACAAAUAAAAUGCAACACAUUUUAAACACUAAGAUAUAAAAAACCACCUAGAAUGCACAUGUUGGAACUAGAGUGAGUAGCAGUAAGGUGUUGUAAUGCUUAAGCCAGGGUUAGUUACCUGUGUACUUGGUGUGCUACAAGCUCUGGGUCCUUAACUGAGGAAGAGGAAAUGAGGGAAGGGAUGGUGAGAAGAGAGAAGAGGAAGAGAAUAGGGAGAGCCAUUGGUGCGUCCUAUAUGCUCUAGUGUGAAAGAGGGGAAUGCGUGAGCAAUUGCAGGGAGAGGGCAAGUGUAUAUAAAGAGGGGGACCUAGGUGUGCUUCGUGAUUUCUUGAUAUACAUUCCCCUGGUAGUUUUCGCCGUUAAGCCUUUGAAAUUGGCAAAGAUUAGAGGAUUAAAUGUGAGAUAGAUAAAUACAGUAAAAUAUUAAAGCAACAAAUAAUCAUAAUAAUAAUGAAAACUUUAUCAUUCACGGUGCACCCAGUGCCUAGCGUAUCAAGAAUUACAGCUAGAUUAUAUAAUGUAGACACCGACAAUGAAAUUGACAACGUCAAUAUUGAAGCCACCUGUUUUAUUUUUUUAUUUAUUUUUCUAUUUGUAAAUUGUCAUGUAAUUUGUCUAUGUUUA
Molecule: unclassified non-coding RNA, 960 nt
Filed under: Hevea brasiliensis (rubber tree)
Lineage: Eukaryota; Viridiplantae; Streptophyta; Magnoliopsida; Malpighiales; Euphorbiaceae
Source: RNAcentral